Non-coding RNA from Camelina sativa (false flax), 1029 nucleotides. The record is from RefSeq and is a predicted model, not a curated record. Lineage: Eukaryota; Viridiplantae; Streptophyta; Magnoliopsida; Brassicales; Brassicaceae.
AAAUGAAUCUCUAAGAUAUUCGCAUCUACAAAAAUAUAAUCGAACAGAGAGAGAGAUGGAACAAAGUAAAGUAUAUAAGAUGUUCUCUCCUUUGAUUUGAGAGAAGAUGAUUGUUCUCUGGGUCGAGACUCGAGCGAGCGAGCUCAAUUUUGCUCAGAGAGAAGGGAAUAUUGUGUGCGCCAAAGAUUUCUUGGAGAUGUAAUCGCUCCACAUUAUAAAAAUCGUGUUCUUGUUUCUGGUACUGCUAGUAGUAGAAUUUGAGUUCGAUUUUUGGAUCUCACAAGUUCAUCUCCAAGUUACUAUGUUCUGCAUUUUUAUUCUAGGUUUAGUUAACUAUGAGGAAAUUGAGGAACCUAAGCUAGAAGAUGUGUUGCGUAGAGCUGCAACUAAAGAUUGCUUUGGAGGCUAAAGAGUAUUUGCGUUGCAAAGAAAUGCAUAUUGUUUCAGACUUGAAACAGAAGAUGUUGAUUUCUCUGGUAGCGAGACUUAUUUCAUGACUAGUUCUUAUUUGAAAAUGAUGUGGAGAAGAAUCGAUUUUCUUUCGGACUGUUCUUGAAAAGGAUUACAACUUUGUUUUCACGGUAUGUUUCUUAUACUCUUAGUAACUGAAAGCCAGAACUUAAUGGUUCUUAUAUUGAGUGAUUCAUUGUCUUCCCUUUAUGAUCUCCAGGAUGAUGAUGUGAUGUGGUUCAGGAACUUAUUUGUUUCUCAAUUCUUUCAGUAUCCAAUGCUUUCUUUGAUGAAUUGCAUUUGAUUUGAGAACUCUUGUGAGAUCAUUGACAUUUACAAAGCCUCUGUCUUAUUGGCAGAGAAUAGUAUUAUGUCCUUUUUGUAUGAUAAACUCACAGGACACAUAGAUCAUGCACUUUGGGAGGCUAAACGUGUCAUUUCCAAGGGGUCUUCCUAGCCAAUUCUGUCUUGACACAUUGUCUCAUACAACCAGAAACCUCACCACUCUACAAUUUGUAGAAUUUUGGGACUUCGUACAAGCAAGCUUAGCUUACAAAAGACGUUCGGCAAGUAACUGGG